CGUGGUGUUCGCUGUGAGCCAAGGCUCCGUGUUUAAGGACCUACUUUGAUCUAUAAUGGUUUACUUUAAACAAAUUAUUACUUUGAUGGAAAGUUGUCUCAUUCGAACUCAUGCACCAUCUUCUUAUAUCUAUAAAUCUUUAAAAUUUCCCCUUAUAAAUAACUGCUUUACAGUCCUCCAACUGAACGAUCUAAAUUUAUGAAUA
RNAcentral lists this long non-coding RNA (205 nucleotides) under Mytilus galloprovincialis (Mediterranean mussel). The record is from RNAcentral. Lineage: Eukaryota; Metazoa; Mollusca; Bivalvia; Mytilida; Mytilidae.